This 963-nucleotide long non-coding RNA is filed under the name Hordeum vulgare. RNAcentral describes it as "long non-coding RNA (HVUL_LNC018707)". The record is from RNAcentral. Lineage: Eukaryota; Viridiplantae; Streptophyta; Magnoliopsida; Poales; Poaceae.
GUGAGGAGUGGCGUGCCUGCGUGGCCGCAUUCCCCUGACCGCUACUGGUGCGCGCGGGCACGUGUCACAUCGGCUCUCAGCGCGAGAAAGGAGGGGCCCUAGGGGCUGCCUGAUGCAAAGGAGCUGUCGGGGGAGAGGAGAGACACCGCGGGGAGGCUGGAACUGGCCGAGGGAGUCUCCCCCACCUCGGUUACUCUGUGGUGCCUUGGACGCGUCUGGCUUGUCCUGGGCCCUUGCUUGGAGAUGCCUAGCCGUUUCAAUCCCGUGGGAGCUUCGGCUAGUCAAAGGAGGGGAGAAAAACAGGUGUUGUUAGCCUUGAGCUAAAGCUUAGAUUGGAGUUUUUGGAAUAUCUACUUAGAACCAGAGAAGAGCCACUUGACACGAGUUAGGCACUGAUGCUAGCCACCUAAUCUAGGAGUUUGAGAGAAAGGGAGUGGGUGUAGCUGGGGUUAAAAGGGGUUUUGCUCAACUGUCAUAAGGUGCUCGACAGUGGUCUGGGGUGGUUGCAUCCCACCACUGGCUAUGCAACUUAACAUGAUUAGGUUUGGUGCAAAAACAUGAGGCAACACCAAGUUUGGGCUCCAUUGGACAAGUUUUGCUAUGCAAACUUGAAAUAACACCUAAAUGGCCAGAUUUGUUCCUUCCAAAGGGAGUGUGGUCAAAUCAAGUCCCAAAAAUCCCAUUUUUUGGCAUGGAGUCCUCAUUUGAGGUAUUAGGCACUCCUGCAAAGUUUCAUCUCCAUUGAAUAAACUUUGCUAUGUAGGGUUGCUCUAACUUCAUAUUGGACAGAAAGGGUUUUGGAAUUAUUUGGUGACCCUAACCACCUUGGGUCAAGGUGAAACUUUAUAUGGGCACCAAAUAUGGCUUAGGAAGCUCACUGGAAUUUUCUAGGAAUUUAUUAAAUAUUUCAAAAGGUCAAAACAGACACAAUAGGUUUUCACGGUUUUACUCAAAUAUUUAUAA